Molecule: ribosomal RNA, 441 nt
Filed under: uncultured bacterium
Lineage: Bacteria
Description: bacterial SSU rRNA
Rfam family: Bacterial small subunit ribosomal RNA
Source: RNAcentral
GAUGAACGCUGGCGGUAUGCCUAACACAUGCAAGUCGUACGAGAGUUUUUAACUCUAGUGGCGGACGGGUGAGUAACACGUGAGAAUUUGCCUUUAGGAGGGGGAUAACAAUUGGAAACGAAUGCUAAUACCCCAUAUGCUUUUGAGUGAAAUGGAUUUUAUCCGCCUAGAGAGAAGCUCGCGGCUGAUUAGCUUGUUGGUAAGGUAAGAGCUUACCAAGGCGACGAUCAGUAUCUGGUUUGAGAGGACGAUCAGACACACUGGAACUGAGACACGGUCCAGACUCCUACGGGAGGCAGCAGUGGGGAAUUUUCCGCAAUGGGCGAAAGCCUGACGGAGCAAUACCGCGUGAGGGAAGAAUGCCUAUGGGUUGUAAACCUCUUUUUUCAGGGAGGAAUAAAAUGACGUGUACCUGAAGAAUAAGCAUCGGCUAACUCCGUG